GGCAAGGUACAUUGAAGGGUCUAUCCAGGAGGACAACCUCGUGAAUGAAGCAGUCGGGUAUGCCAUGGAGUACAUGGAAAAACCACGUGAUGCCAAUCACCAAGUCAGUUGAGUAUACUAAUAUGAGUACAGGUGAAAACUCUACCAAAGCAGCUGGUCUUCUACCAAAGCCAGCUUCUGAUCCUCAAGCUGGGAUGAAGUCAUCCUCGAGUGGACCUUCUGAAGUGUUGACAUAUUUUCCCCUUGGGCCUAGGGUCGAGAGGUUACAUAUUGUACCUGUGGAUCUCAGCAAUACAGCGCUCAUAGUGUACCAGAACUUACCCAGCAGAUGUGGGAUUCAAAGAACAUGAUGUGUGCUGCUGAUCCUAGACAUGGACGAUGCUUGACCGAAAACUAUCAGAAUACAAGUGAAGAGAAAGUCCUAAGUAUGGAAACAAAAUAUCAGAAUGGGGACUCGAUUUUCUUCUACUUGAUGUGCCUGCCGAUCUAUCUAUCUUUUGAAGAAGAUAAGUUUCCUCUUCACACUCAACUUUUAAGUUUCAUAUCAUUUCUUUACUUUAGAUUUUCUCUUCAAUGUUGUGAAUUUGGUGGAACCAAAGUUUAAUUUUGAAUUUCCUGUUUUAUAAUUCGUGUAAUAUUUUGGAGUGAUUCGGGUGGAUUAUUGUGUGUAUCUGUCUUGUUUGUUUGCGGAAUCUUUGUUGUUUGUUGUGGUGACUUGCGUGCUAAAGCCGCCUGAAGAUGGCAAUGUUAACUUCUCAUUGUCCUUCACUCUUCAGGUUUGUAUUUUUUUUUAAUCAACCUCAGAAGAUUUGAGGGAGAAAUAGUACGCGAGAGAAGGCGGAGACUAUUAUAUGAGUUUUGCAUCUUUUAGUUUUAACUUAUAUGCAUUCAUUAAGUUCUAAACAGAUACCGUAUGAGCUUUAAGCCACAUAUAACUUAGAAAUUCUCUUUAAGUUACCACUUGACCUUAUUCAAUAUAUGAUUUCCAUCCUUGCACAGGAUUUGAAGAGCCGGAAAAUGAAGAUGGAGGCAGAAAAGAGACUUAAAUAUUGUAAAUAUUUGUUACAAACUCUUUUACCAGUCUUAAAUCAAAUCCGAGAAGAGCAAGCAAUGGAAAAGGAGCCCGAGGCGAAGAUUCAAGGUUCAGGGAGCGCUGUCAAACCCCAUUGGAGCAGCUGCUGAAUUUAAUGAGGGUGAAUUGUAAUCUGAACUCGAGGAGUUGGAGAAUCAACUUUUACAACCUGCAACCCAAAGUCAGGUUCAAAUCAAGAGAAUUUCCCUACUACUAGCUUCUUUGGGUGUUAAAUUGGAACGCCUUUGUCGUGAGAAGAAUCAUCUCCUAAUUUUCAUUCGAGGCCUUCACUUUCAUGUUCUCUUACGACUUUCAUCGGGUGUUUUUAUAUCUUCAUCUAGUUAACCAUCUAAAAUAGUGGAAUUGAUCCUGAUGCAUUCAUGGGAGGACAAAAGGGCUUAUACCCCUGAAAUCAUAUUCAAGCAAGAGGUUCUACCAUUAAAUGGCAUCCAUUAGGUCCCUUUGCAGCUGCAAGUGUUUGAGUAAGUUCUUGCUUAUAGUGAUUUAGAGAAUGAACUGAACUUGGGAACUUAGUAGGUUUCUAUGACUUUCCUCAGAAUUUGAUACUUAACAAUAACGAA
Molecule: long non-coding RNA, 1653 nt
Organism: Papaver somniferum (opium poppy)
Lineage: Eukaryota; Viridiplantae; Streptophyta; Magnoliopsida; Ranunculales; Papaveraceae
Exons: 6
Source: RefSeq, a predicted model, not a curated record